GACGAACGCUGGCGGCGUGCCUAAUACAUGCAAGUCGAGCGGACCAAAGGGAGCUUGCUCCUGGAGGUCAGCGGCGAACGGGUGAGUAACACGUGGGCAACCUGCCUGUAAGACUGGGAUAACAUCGAGAAAUCGGUGCUAAUACCGGAUAAUAAAAAGAACUGCAUGGUUCUUUUUUGAAAGAUGGUUUCGGCUAUCACUUACAGAUGGGCCCGCGGCGCAUUAGCUAGUUGGUGAGGUAACGGCUCACCAAGGCAACGAUGCGUAGCCGACCUGAGAGGGUGAUCGGCCACACUGGGACUGAGACACGGCCCAGACUCCUACGGGAGGCAGCAGUAGGGAAUCUUCCGCAAUGGACGAAAGUCUGACGGAGCAACGCCGCGUGAGUGAUGAAGGUUUUCGGAUCGUAAAACUCUGUUGUUAGGGAAGAACAAGUGCCGUUCGAAAGGGCGGCACCUUGACGGUACCUAACGAGAAAGCCACGGCUAACUACGUGCCAGCAGCC
This 505-nucleotide ribosomal RNA is filed under the name uncultured bacterium. RNAcentral's name for it is "bacterial SSU rRNA". It matches the Rfam family "Bacterial small subunit ribosomal RNA", at positions 28 to 516 of the family's 1533-position model. The record is from RNAcentral.